GAAAGCAUUUGCCAAGGACGUUUUCAUUAAUCAAGAACGAAAGUUAGGGGAUCGAAGAUGAUCAGAUACCGUCGUAGUCUUAACCAUAAACUAUGCCGACUAGGGAUCGGGUGUUGUCCUUUUUUUGGCGCACUCGGCACCUUACGAGAAAUCAAAGUUUUUGGGUUCUGGGGGGAGUAUGGUCGCAAGGCUGAAACUUAAAGGAAUUGACGGAAGGGCACCACCAGGAGUGGAGCCUGCGGCUUAAUUUGACUCAACACGGGGAAACUCACCAGGUCCAGACACAAUAAGGAUUGACAGAUUGAGAGCUCUUUCUUGAUUUUGUGGGUGGUGGUGCAUGGCCGUUCUUAGUUGGUGGAGUGAUUUGUCUGCUUAAUUGCGAUAACGAACGAGACCUUAACCUACUAAAUAGUGCUGCUAGCAUUUGCUGGUACGACACUUCUUAGAGGGACUACCGAUUUCAAGUCGGUGGAAGUUUGAGGCAAUAACAGGUCUGUGAUGCCCUUAGACGUUCUGGGCCGCACGCGCGCUACACUGACGGAGCCAGCGAGUAUUAACCUUGGCCGAGAGGUCCGGGAAAUCUUGUGAAACUCCGUCGUGCUGGGGAUAGAGCAUUGUAAUUAUUGCUCUUCAACGAGGAAUUCCU
RNAcentral lists this ribosomal RNA (646 nucleotides) under Yamadazyma mexicana. RNAcentral describes it as "SSU rRNA". It matches the Rfam family "Eukaryotic small subunit ribosomal RNA", at positions 947 to 1615 of the family's 1831-position model. Lineage: Eukaryota; Fungi; Ascomycota; Pichiomycetes; Serinales; Debaryomycetaceae. The record is from RNAcentral.